UAGGGAAUAUUGGUCAAUGGAUGCAAGUCUGAACCAGCCAUGCCGCGUGCAGGAAGAAGGCCUUCUGGGUUGUAAACUGCUUUUGUCAGGGGAUAAAAUUUCCUUGCGAGGAACAUUGAAGGUACCUGACGAAUAAGCCACGGCUAACUACGUGCCAGCAGCCGCGGUAAUACGUAGGUGGCAAGCGUUGUCCGGAUUUAUUGGGUUUAAAGGGUGCGUAGGCGGUUCUGUAAGUCAGUGGUGAAAUACUCCAGCUUAACUGGAGGGGUGCCAAUGAUACUGCAGAACUUGAGUACAGAUGAGGUAGGCGGAAUUGACAGA
This 321-nucleotide ribosomal RNA is filed under the name uncultured bacterium. Its description in RNAcentral is "bacterial SSU rRNA". It matches the Rfam family "Bacterial small subunit ribosomal RNA", at positions 355 to 674 of the family's 1533-position model. The record is from RNAcentral.